Long non-coding RNA from Vicia villosa (hairy vetch), 1011 nucleotides. RefSeq lists it as uncharacterized. The transcript has 3 exons. NCBI's taxonomy places the organism in Eukaryota, Viridiplantae, Streptophyta, Magnoliopsida, Fabales, Fabaceae. The record is from RefSeq and is a predicted model, not a curated record.
AAAAGGAAAAACGUUGUGACGUUCCAAUUCUUCAGACUCUCUCUCUAUCGCAUCUCCCUCUCUCGUUCACUCUAACUCUUAAACCUCACCGGAAAUCGCUCCGCCGCGCCGGAGGCGGCGGAGCUCGCUCAAACCCAAAAUUAAAAUCGCCAAUCAACUCGUCUCCACCUCCUCUUAUCAAAAAUCAAUUCGGUUUCUCAAGAUCCUCUUUCAAACUCUCCUAAUCAGAAUAACUAGGAAACCCUAGAUCUAACCAAAAGCUCAAAUAAACAAAAAUGGAGACGAAUGAAAGCACAAGAAUAUAGGGGAAAGAGAUAGCGAGAUGUAUACAACGAUUUCUGUAACAGAGGAAAGUUUAGGAUUACCUACCGGAGCAGUUCCGGCGACUCUUCAGUUGCGAUUACGAAGAUGAGAAAACUAAAGGAACUUCGAAUUUGCAGGAUUUUGUUUGUGUUUGAAUAUGUGAUGUGGGACUGUUUUGGCUGGAAGUUUAUGGUGAAUGUAUGUUAAAUAUACAGUGGUUCGCAAGCCAUAUGAUGGAAACAUAUUGAAUGUAGAUAAUUGUUGGUAUACUCUGACUUGCAACUGGUUCCAAGCCGUGGGGACAAAUAGACAUGGAGUUCCACAUAAUCGUAAAGUCACUUUUGUAUGAGAUUCUUGCACAUGAAGCAAUUUGAAACUUGAAGAUCACACUGGAGUUAAAGCUUGAAGAUUGAAAGAGGGAAGGAGGGAUGCAUCUGCUGCAUUUUUUUUGGGACUGAAUUUGAUUCAAAAGUAGUUUGUUGUUAGGAUAGGAAUUGUUAGGUGGUUAGAGGUUAGUGAUUGAAUAUAUAUUUAUGAAUGUGACUUGCAUAUGUAUUAUGAACGUAUUUUCUGUAUGACUUGUAAUAGGAUUUGAAAUGUAAUGAUCUUUUCUGGUUUGUAACAUAAUCAUUAUGGAAGUUCAAAGCAACAUGGAAUAACAAGAACAAUCAUGUAGAAUUGAAUGUAAACAUGAAGGGAUUUGGACUA